UGGCAGUCCCAUAAUUUUUACCAAAAACUGAAACACCUCACAAAUAAAUUGUUAUGGCCAGGUCAAUCCGAAUCGCACUGGACUUAGCUCUAAUUUCUAUAAAGACCGUGAGAGGACCUUUAUCAAACUUUUGGUAUUUCGCUAAAUCCCGGAUCGCUGGCACUGCCGCUCGACCUAUAGUUGACAAUACAGUUAUAGAGAAAUUAGAACAUGGCAUGUCAAGAACUACCGAUUUAUUAAUUGAUAAAAUGGGAGUAUUACGAGAUCGCCAAUUAGAAGGAGAAAAAGAGUACCUUGAAAAAGAAUUAGAAAAAGUUAAUCAAAAAUUAGGAAGUGGAUCGUCUUCGUCUUCUCGUUGCUAGUG
This 364-nucleotide unclassified non-coding RNA is filed under the name Leguminivora glycinivorella. RNAcentral describes it as "histone H1C-like, transcript variant X2". Lineage: Eukaryota; Metazoa; Arthropoda; Insecta; Lepidoptera; Tortricidae. The record is from RNAcentral.